GACGAACGCUGGCGUCGCGCCUAACACAUGCAAGUCGAGCGAGAACCUGGGCUUCGGCCCAGGGGAAAGCGGCGAACGGGUGAGUAACACGUGGGUAACCUGCCCUCGGCACCGGGAUAGCCCGGGGAAACUCGGAUUAAUACCGGACAGCCUCAUGAGCUCUCGGGCGAAUGAGAAAAGGUGGCUUCGGCUUCCGGCUGAGGAUGGGCCCGCGGCCGAUUAGCUUGUUGGUGAGGUAAUGGCUCACCAAGGCUCCGAUCGGUAGCUGGUCUGAGAGGACGAUCAGCCACACUGGGACUGAGACACGGCCCAGACUCCUACGGGAGGCAG
RNAcentral lists this ribosomal RNA (330 nucleotides) under uncultured Acidobacteriota bacterium. RNAcentral's name for it is "bacterial SSU rRNA". It matches the Rfam family "Bacterial small subunit ribosomal RNA", at positions 28 to 351 of the family's 1533-position model. Lineage: Bacteria; Pseudomonadati; Acidobacteriota. The record is from RNAcentral.